GACGAACGCUGGCGGCGUGCUUCAAACAUGCAAGUCGAACGGAGUCGAGAAGGGCUUGCCCUUCUCGACUUAGUGGCGGACGGGUGAGUAACGCGUGAGCAACCUGCCUACUACAGGGGGAUAACAGUUGGAAACGACUGCUAAUACCGCAUGAGACCACAAGGGGGCAUCUCCAAGGGGUCAAAGGAAGUUAUUCUGGUAGUAGAGGGGCUUGCGUCUCAUUAGAUAGUUGGUGGGGUAACGGCCUACCAAGUCAACGAUGAGUAGCCGAUCUGAGAGGAUGAACGGCCACACUGGAACUGAGAAACGGUCCAG
This 315-nucleotide ribosomal RNA is filed under the name uncultured bacterium. RNAcentral describes it as "bacterial SSU rRNA". It matches the Rfam family "Bacterial small subunit ribosomal RNA", at positions 28 to 334 of the family's 1533-position model. The record is from RNAcentral.